CCAAGGGCUCAUAGAGCCCUCAAUAAUGACUGAUUAUUGAGUCAUUAUUGAGUCAUAUAAUGUAUAUGAGGAUUCUCUUUACCUUGCUCUUGUACCCAAACAGAAGUAUAGAGAAUGAAUGAAGAGCAGCAUCAACUCCACAUGCGACCUAAUGCCAAUCACUGCUUAUCAAGCUCAGGAGAUUGUUUGGCUGACCACAUCAUUUAAGGUCUGAAGAUGAAUUCUGAGAACUCAUAGCAAUGGAUAUCCUGAAUUGCUCUUACCAGUCAUGGACAGCAAUCCCCUCAGAAAAAAUUAAAAGGAGCCAAUGCACUGAGCUUCAAGGAUGGCAAGCAGGAUCGGACAAAGGCUAGUCCCUGAACCAAGACUUACAACUCUGGGACCAUGGCCCUGAGACCACGACAUGAGCUGAAAUCGAGAGUCGGACACUCAACUAACUGAGCCAACCAGGUGCCAUUGUAACAAGUUUUGAAAGGCUCAAAGAAAUGUCAACAAACUUCCAAAUGAGAUUGGCCUAUACAAGAUUUUUCAUAACAGCAGCACUAUUCGCAUUUGGUGCCAGCUAAUCUUUGUUGUGGGGGAAUACCUGUGCACUGUUGUAUAUUUAGUAGCCUGCCUCUAACACAAGAUGCCAGGAGCAGCCCUCUCAUCAACCGUAACAACAAAAAAUGUCUCUAAACAUUGGCGAAUUGUCUGGGAAAAGGAAACAAAGUCAGCUCCCGAUGAGAACUACUGAUCAAUACAGAUAUAUCCCUCAUUCCUUGAAAGAGCAAAACAUCGUUCAAAGAAACAAAAAACCCACA
This is a long non-coding RNA of Felis catus (domestic cat), 803 nucleotides long. RefSeq lists it as uncharacterized. Lineage: Eukaryota; Metazoa; Chordata; Mammalia; Carnivora; Felidae. The transcript is spliced from 2 exons. The record is from RefSeq and is a predicted model, not a curated record.